RNAcentral lists this ribosomal RNA (429 nucleotides) under Gemmatimonadota bacterium. RNAcentral's name for it is "Gemmatimonadetes bacterium partial 16S ribosomal RNA". It matches the Rfam family "Bacterial small subunit ribosomal RNA", at positions 355 to 776 of the family's 1533-position model. Lineage: Bacteria; Pseudomonadati; Gemmatimonadota. The record is from RNAcentral.
UAGGGAAUCUUCGGCAAUGGACGAAAGUCUGACCGAGCAACGCCGCGUGAGUGAAGAAGGUUUUCGGAUCGUAAAACUCUGUUGUUAGAGAAGAACAAGGACGUUAGUAACUGAACGUCCCCUGACGGUAUCUAACCAGAAAGCGACGGCUAACUACGUGCCAGCAGCCGCGGUAAUACGUAGGUGGCAAGCGUUGUCCGGAUUUAUUGGGCGUAAAGCGAGCGAAGGCGGUUUCUUAAGUCUGAUGUGAAAGCCCCCGGCUCAACCGGGGAGGGUCAUUGGAAACUGGGAGUCUUGAGUGCAGAAGAGGAGAGUGGAAUUCCAUGUGUAGCGGUGAAAUGCGUAGAUAUAUGGAGGAACACCAGUGGCGAAGGCGGCUCUCUGGUCUGUUACUGACGCUGAGGCUCGAAAGCGUGGGGAGCAAACAGG